This 770-nucleotide ribosomal RNA is filed under the name uncultured bacterium. RNAcentral describes it as "bacterial SSU rRNA". It matches the Rfam family "Bacterial small subunit ribosomal RNA", at positions 8 to 773 of the family's 1533-position model. The record is from RNAcentral.
AGAGUUUGAUCCUGGCUCAGAUUGAACGCUGGCGGCAUGCCUUACACAUGCAAGUCGAACGGUAACGCGGGGGCAACCCUGGCGACGAGUGGCGAACGGGUGAGUAGCGCAUCGGAACGUGCCCAAUAGUGGGGGAUAGCUCGGCGAAAGCCGGAUUAAUACCGCAUACGACCCACGGGUGAAAGCGGGGGACCGCAAGGCCUCGCGCUAUUGGAGCGGCCGAUGCCCGAUUAGCUAGUUGGUGAGGUAAUGGCCCACCAAGGCGACGAUCGGUAGCUGGUCUGAGAGGACGACCAGCCACACUGGGACUGAGACACGGCCCAGACUCCUACGGGAGGCAGCAGUGGGGAAUUUUGGACAAUGGGGGAAACCCUGAUCCAGCCAUGCCGCGUGCGGGAAGAAGGCCUUCGGGUUGUAAACCGCUUUUGGCAGGAACGAAACGGCGCAGGCGAAUACCUUGCGCUAAUGACGGUACCUGCAGAAUAAGCACCGGCUAACUACGUGCCAGCAGCCGCGGUAAUACGUAGGGUGCAAGCGUUAAUCGGAAUUACUGGGCGUAAAGCGUACGCAGGCGGCUGUGCAAGACAGAUGUGAAAUCCCCGGGCCCAACCUGGGAACUGCAUUUGUGACUGCACGGCUAAAGUCCGUAAGAGGGGGGUGGAAUUCCACGUGUAGCAGUGAAAUGCGUAGAGAUGUGGAGGAACACCGAUGGCGAAGGCAGCCCCCUGGGAUGAGACUGACGCUCAUGUACGAAAGCGUGGGGAGCAAAC